UGGGGAAUUUUGCACAAUGGGCGCAAGCCUGAUGCAGCGACGCCGCGUGAGGGAUGAAGGCCUUCGGGUUGUAAACCUUUUUCGCUCAUGGUCAAGCCGCAGCUUUGGGUUGUGGUGAGGGUAGCGGGUAAAGAAGCGCCGGCUAACUACGUGUCAGCAGCCGCGGUAAUACGUAGGGCGCGAGCGUUGUCCGGAAUUAUUGGUCGUAUAGGGCUUGUAGGCGGUUGGCCGCGUCUGCCGUGAAAUCCUCUGGCUUAACUGGGGGCGUGCGGUGGGUACGGGUUGCCUUACGUUCAGUAGGGUAUACUGGAAUUCUCGGUGGAACGGUGGUAUGUGUAGAUAUCGGGAAGAACACCAAUGGCUAAGGCAGGUCUCUGGGCUGUUACUGACGCUGAGAAGCGAAAGCGUGGGGAGCGAACAGG
RNAcentral lists this ribosomal RNA (422 nucleotides) under Verrucomicrobiota bacterium. RNAcentral describes it as "Verrucomicrobia bacterium partial 16S ribosomal RNA". It matches the Rfam family "Bacterial small subunit ribosomal RNA", at positions 355 to 776 of the family's 1533-position model. The record is from RNAcentral. Lineage: Bacteria; Pseudomonadati; Verrucomicrobiota.